AGUGAACGCUGGCGGCAGGCCUAACACAUGCAAGUCGAACGGCAGCACAGUAAGCGCUUGCUCUUACGGGUGGCGAGUGGCGGACGGGUGAGGAAUACAUCGGCAUCUACUUUUUCGUGGGGGAUAACGUCGGGAAACUUACGCUAAUACCGCAUACGACCUACGGGUGAAAGCAGGAGAUCUUCGGACCUUGCGCGAUUCAAUGAGCCGAUGUCGGAUUAGCUAGUUGGUGGGGUACAGGCCCACCAAGGCGACGAUCCGUAGCUGGUCUGAGAGGAUGAUCAGCCACACUGGAACUGAGACACGGUCCAGACUCCUACGGGAGGCAGCAGUGGGGAAUAUUGGACAAUGGGCGCAAGCCUGAUCCAGCCAUGCCGCGUGCGGGAAGAAGGCCUUCGGGUUGUAAAGCGCUUUUGUUCGGGAAGAAAAGCAGCAGGUUAAUACCCCGCGGUUCUGACGGUACCCAAAGAAUAAGCACCGGCUAACUUCGUG
This 492-nucleotide ribosomal RNA is filed under the name uncultured bacterium. RNAcentral describes it as "partial 16S ribosomal RNA". It matches the Rfam family "Bacterial small subunit ribosomal RNA", at positions 29 to 507 of the family's 1533-position model. The record is from RNAcentral.